UUACAUCAUUGACGAGUAUAGGAGG
This 25-nucleotide non-coding RNA is filed under the name Drosophila melanogaster (fruit fly). Lineage: Eukaryota; Metazoa; Arthropoda; Insecta; Diptera; Drosophilidae. The record is from RNAcentral.